GUGCUCGUUUUGGCAGCACAUUUACUGAAAAUUGGAACAAUAAAGAGAAGAUUAGCAUGACCCCUGCACAAGGAAAACAUACAAAUUCAUGAAGUGUUCCAUAUUUUU
Molecule: small nuclear RNA, 108 nt
Organism: Sorex fumeus (smoky shrew)
Lineage: Eukaryota; Metazoa; Chordata; Mammalia; Eulipotyphla; Soricidae
Source: RefSeq, a predicted model, not a curated record